Molecule: long non-coding RNA, 329 nt
Filed under: Oryza brachyantha (malo sina)
Lineage: Eukaryota; Viridiplantae; Streptophyta; Magnoliopsida; Poales; Poaceae
Description: long non-coding RNA (OBRA_LNC003198)
Source: RNAcentral
GGUUACAUGCAAGACACAAGUUGUCUAGAUAACAGUGCAUAGAAGGUUUCAUCCCCAUGAAACUCAUUUCAUCUCUCUCUUCAUUAGUACUUUGCCAUAUCAUCAAAAAUACCUACAUGGCAUCCUAUUUAUUGUCCAUAAAACUUCCAUUAAGAUUGGCCUAAGAAUCAGAUGCUAUGUAGAGUGCAUCUGCAUGUCCUUCAUGCCUCUUCUCUUCAGUAGUGAUGGUGAAUGUCACAGAGCUGGACAAAGGUGAAGCAUUCAGAACAUCCAAAUAAUGUUGAAUCGAGAGUAGAUCACCGUUUGAACGGUUCUACUGUUUUAUCCUG